UAUUAAAGGCAAAAGUUUAACUAAGACAGAAUGAGAAAAGGAAAAUAGUUUACUCUCUGACAUACCCGUCAAACCAGGAAUACUUGGAUCUCCACUGACAUGUAAGGUUAGAUCAGGAUUGCUAUGAAGGCAGCAGUGGGUAGUGACAAGGUAUACGUGUAGACAGUGUGGCGUCAACUUCUUAUACACCGGCUGUGUUCCUGCAAGCAUCAAAUGGAGUCCAGUGAAGAAAUGAAAGUACUACCCGAUGACAGAAUUCUACGGAUAUUUUGGGCGACUGGGUGCCCUCUGUUUCCGCGUCCAAGAAGGGGUGUAGCUGUGUGUGUCGUAGGAAGUGAAAAGGGAGAAGUAUUCCAGUCAAGCAGGAGAAGGAGGGGACGUUGUCGACAUGCAGAAGACAAACUUAUGCAAAAGUUAAAUCAAGACCUUAAUAGUGGAACAUUAGGAGAUAAAUUAAGUAAAUCAGGAACUACCAAAAUUGAAAUAUUUCAGAACUACAGCCCAUGUGGAAACUGCGCUGAACCCAUUAGCGAGUUUCUGGGCAGACUAAAGGUGUUUUACCCUGGAUGCAACGUCACGUUGCACAUUCAUUUUGUGUGUAUAUACAAGAUAUUUUGGAACGAGAAUGGACCGAGACCAUACUACAUUACACCAGACGAGCACAUCAGAAACCGUGAAGGGUUGUUACGUCUUAAAGCACAUGGAAUACAGUUACAAUCAUUCACUUCUCAAACAUGGGCAAAGCUAUCGGACAUACGUAUGCCUAACCCAAAUAGGUCAGACCAUGUAGCUGAAGAUUACCCUGAAUGGUAUGGACACCAUAAACGAGAAGUCGCUGAUACAAAAACUGCCGAAACCUUUCAAAGGAUUAUUCUAUGAACGAAAACUUCGAAAGCCCACACUGAUUGCAAAAGAGAGUAUUUUAGCUGUUUCAGUUCCAGAAACGUUUUUUACAUGGCACAUACAACUUACAGAAACAAACACCAUGAGGAACAUUGUCAAUGUUUUUUCUUGAUCCUCCCUGUACGUGAUAUAAAACUGUCCAAUUGUU
Long non-coding RNA from Haliotis rubra (blacklip abalone), 1051 nucleotides. RefSeq lists it as uncharacterized. The transcript has 2 exons. The record is from RefSeq and is a predicted model, not a curated record. NCBI's taxonomy places the organism in Eukaryota, Metazoa, Mollusca, Gastropoda, Lepetellida, Haliotidae.